Molecule: long non-coding RNA, 520 nt
Organism: Oncorhynchus tshawytscha (Chinook salmon)
Lineage: Eukaryota; Metazoa; Chordata; Actinopteri; Salmoniformes; Salmonidae
Source: Ensembl
AUUCUCUAUUCCCUAGUACAGGUUGAACAUUCUCUAUUCCCUAGUACAGGUUGAACAUUCUCUAUUCCCUAGUAUAGGUUGAACAUUCUCUAUUCCCUAGUAUAGGUUGAACAUUCUCCAUUCCAAGAACAUUAACAUUAAGGUCAACCUGUAGUACUGGCAGGUUAUUUAAAGGAACCACGUGCAAUUAAAAACAUACAUUUCAGACAGUGAAAUAUGAUGCGUGCACCCGAGUUAGCUAAGAGCAGCUACUUUUCAUCAUCAGCCCCUCAUUUUCAAUCUGACCCUCAACACACUCCCAUCUGAGAGUGUGUGCGCCAAUCGGGAAAAAGCAGAGCAGAGAACAUUAUUGACGGUAGUCAACAAACCUCUUGGACUGAACCUCCCCCCCACACACACACACAGAUAGGAGUGGGAGUCUAUUGAGAAUCAGGUUGUCCUUUAUGUUCCUUCCAAGAGCUGGAGGUCUGCGAUCAUGUCUCCACUGAACAACAACAUCAAGGACAACCUGACCCUCGAC